GCCGACGUAGCUCAACUGGCAGAGCAACGGUUUUGUAAACCGUAGGUUGCGGGUUCGAUUCCUGUCGUCGGCUCCA
This 76-nucleotide transfer RNA is filed under the name Chloroflexota bacterium. RNAcentral describes it as "tRNA-Thr". It matches the Rfam family "tRNA". Rfam says of the family: Transfer RNA (tRNA) molecules are approximately 80 nucleotides in length. Their secondary structure includes four short double-helical elements and three loops (D, anti-codon, and T loops). Further hydrogen bonds mediate the characteristic L-shaped molecular structure. tRNAs have two regions of fundamental functional importance: the anti-codon, which is responsible for specific mRNA codon recognition, and the 3' end, to which the tRNAs corresponding amino acid is attached (by aminoacyl-tRNA synthetases). tRNAs cope with the degeneracy of the genetic code in two manners: having more than one tRNA (with a specific anti-codon) for a particular amino acid; and 'wobble' base-pairing, i.e. permitting non-standard base-pairing at the 3rd anti-codon position. Lineage: Bacteria; Bacillati; Chloroflexota. The record is from RNAcentral.